GGAAGUAAAAGUUGUAACAAGGUUUCCGUAGGUGAACCUGCGGAAGGAUCAUUAUUGUAUAACCGAGGUGCGAGGGCUGUCGCUGAUCCGAAAGGUCGUGCACGCCCGAGUGCCCUCACACACAUCCAUCUCACCCCUAUGUGCACCACCGCGUGGGUCCCCCUUUGGCUUGUUCGGAGGGGGGCUUACGUUUUCACACAAACUUUGUAUGCAGUGUAGAAUGUAUUUUUUGUUUUUGCGAUCACGCAAUCAAUACAACUUUCAACAACGGAUCUCUUGGCUCUC
RNAcentral lists this unclassified non-coding RNA (285 nucleotides) under plant metagenome. RNAcentral's name for it is "partial contains small subunit ribosomal RNA, internal transcribed spacer 1, and 5.8S ribosomal RNA". The stretch from base 1 to 54 matches the Rfam family "Eukaryotic small subunit ribosomal RNA", at positions 1778 to 1831 of the family's 1831-position model. The record is from RNAcentral.